UCCAGAAGUUUGCAAGCUCUGAUUGAACCGGUAUAGAACUGAAGUGAUUGUGUUUUGUAACGUUUUAUUUGGGUAUGUCGAGUGAAGAAAAAACAGAGAAGAGCGAAAACCUAGAUGGGUUGUCAGCUGAAGCAUUGGACUCUGAAACCCUAAUGGCUGAUUCUGGAACUGGGUUGUCUGAUGAGGUGCCUAGGGUUUCUGAUGAUAAUGGAAAUGUGGAUACUGGUGCUAUUAACGAGCCAGUUGUUGCUACAGAGGAGACCCUGGAAGUGGGGAGUGACGCUGGUGGUGAUGUGGUGGAAGUUCAUGGUUCACUGGAUAAUGUGAGUGGGGGAGAGCUUGCGAGUGAAGGGGCCGAAGCAGAUCAAGGGUCUGGACAUUUGGUUGAGGAAAUGAACGGAGAGGAGAAUGUAGCUGGUGGUUCGGAUGAUGAGAUGAUUGAUGCUGUUGACGGAGAAACUGCUGAGGAUAACUCUGGGGAUGAUACAACUAGUGUAAAACAUGUUUAUGCAGUUGGUGACUUUGUGUGGGGCAAGAUUAAGAGUCAUCCGUGGUGGCCAGGGCGUGUUUACGAUGCUUCCACUGCCUCUGACUUUGCUAUGAAGUAUAAUCAAACAGGUCGAUUGCUAGUGGCAUACUUUGGAGAUGGGUCAUUUUCUUGGUGCCCCCCUUCGCAAUUGGUGCCUUUUGUUGACAACUUUGAAAAAAUGUCAAAGCAGAGCACUUCCAAGAGUUUCUUAUAUGCUGUUGAAAAAACCUUGGAUGAAAUUGGUGUGCUUGUGGAGUUUCAAAUGACCUGCCAAUGUGUCUCUGAAGAGAGUCUUACUGGACUUAGUUGGCCAUUGGCAGUGAAUGCUGGA
Molecule: unclassified non-coding RNA, 860 nt
Filed under: Hevea brasiliensis (rubber tree)
Lineage: Eukaryota; Viridiplantae; Streptophyta; Magnoliopsida; Malpighiales; Euphorbiaceae
Source: RNAcentral